This 307-nucleotide unclassified non-coding RNA is filed under the name uncultured fungus. Its description in RNAcentral is "sequence contains ITS2". The stretch from base 1 to 52 matches the Rfam family "5.8S ribosomal RNA", at positions 103 to 154 of the family's 154-position model. Lineage: Eukaryota; Fungi. The record is from RNAcentral.
AACGCAAAUUGCACUCCCUGGUAUUCCGGGGAGUAUGCCUGUUUGAGGGUCGGUUUAAGAUCAGAUCGAUGUGUCGCUUUUUUUUUUUUGGUGACAUCUCGGAGUUGGGUCGUCUUGGUCUGCUGGCGUAAGUGACCCGAAAUUGAUGAUGUUCUUGCGCAUCUCAGACGUGUAUGAUUCUCUUAAUCGUCUUUCUGGGUGCCAGGUUAAAUUUUAUUUUACUGGGGUGACCUCGUCUCGUGGUCUCACGCCCAUAACAUUCUCAUGUUCUGACCUCAAAUCAGGUAGGGAUACCCGCUGAACUUAA